Molecule: ribosomal RNA, 397 nt
Filed under: uncultured bacterium
Lineage: Bacteria
Description: partial 16S ribosomal RNA
Rfam family: Bacterial small subunit ribosomal RNA
Source: RNAcentral
AUACGUAGGGGGCGAGCGUUGUCCGGAAUGAUUGGGCGUAAAGGGCGCGUAGGCGGCCUGUUAAGUCUGGAGUGAAAGUCCUGUUUUCAAGAUGGGAAUUGCUUUGGAUACUGAUGGGCUUGAGUGCAGGAGAGGUUAUCGGAAUUCCCGGUGUAGCGGUGAAAUGCGUAGAGAUCGGGAGGAACACCAGUGGCGAAGGCGGGUAACUGGACUGCAACUGACGCUGAGGCGCGAAAGUGUGGGGAGCAAACAGGAUUAGAUACCCUGGUAGUCCACACUGUAAACGAUGAAUGCUAGGUGUAAGAGGUAUCGACCCCUUUUGUGCCGGAGUUAACACAAUAAGCAUUCCGCCUGGGGAGUACGGCCGCAAGGUUGAAACUCAAAGGAAUUGACGGGU